This 675-nucleotide long non-coding RNA is filed under the name Solanum tuberosum (potato). RNAcentral's name for it is "long non-coding RNA (STUB_LNC006642)". The record is from RNAcentral. Lineage: Eukaryota; Viridiplantae; Streptophyta; Magnoliopsida; Solanales; Solanaceae.
CUAAUUCCAAUUCCACCAACCUUUUUCUUUCCAGCAAAUGCCCAGCCCAAUUUCUCCCCAAAGACCCACCCGACCCACCUUUUUCCAAAUACCCGACCCAAACCCAGAAGAGUUCAACGUUCACAAAUCACAACACAACACAGAAGAAGAACACGUCUUCACAGCAGCAACGUUCGUAAACGGCAUGCAUACGAUUGCAAUAUCAAACGUUCAUCAAGCGCCAAUAACAACAAUUCCAAACAGCAACAGACGUCAAUUCUAGCAGCAAAGCUAACGGCGUCAACAAACGAUUCCGACUCCAACGUUCACGGCGUGUGCGAUGCCUACGAACUCAGAGAUGAACGUUCUUUCUUCCUCAAAUGGAAAGAUCAUAGCAGCACGCCUUCAGGCUCUGUCUCGUCUCUUUUCGGCUUUCCUUGAAAAUUUACCAACAGGUUUAGCCCCGCCUUGCUUGUCUUGGCCUCCAAAUCCUUUUGAGAAAAAAGUUUGAAUUCAUAAUUCUCUAUCCGCUUUCCCCCCAAUUUCAAUGCCUCCUCCUUUAUAAUAUUCUUACCGUCUUUUAUAUUUCGACAUGACGUUUCCAGCGUCUCAAAGAACAAUGUUGCUGCCAUUUGUCAUUGAAUUCUUGGCAUCCUAAUAUGUUGUGUAUGUGUUCUUUAGCAAUUUCAUUGUCUA